RNAcentral lists this long non-coding RNA (953 nucleotides) under Cricetulus griseus (Chinese hamster). RNAcentral's name for it is "lncRNA (ENSCGRG00015039385.1)". The record is from RNAcentral. Lineage: Eukaryota; Metazoa; Chordata; Mammalia; Rodentia; Cricetidae.
GAAACUUGCCUUCAUCUGGGGCGUUUACUAAAGAGAAGUUCAGGGUAAUAAUGCAAACAUAACGAUUGAAAAAUAACACAAGAAUCAUGUUUAGGUAUAGUGACCUGGGCUCGUGGUAAGCUACUGUGCCAAGGUGAGUGAUGACACACCUUGUGUGAAAGGGGUAAAGGAGCUGAGGAAGCUAACACUUGGGGAAAAGCCAGAUGACCUUAGGUUUCCCGUGUGAACGGAGGUGAGUCAGCAGAGGGUCAGCAGUGUCAUUUGGCGGAUAGCAUACUGAAAGACACUACCCCAAGAAAAGCCUCUACAGUGUACAUGUCAGUGUCUGAUGUCUUCAUUUUCCCAUAAGAGCAAGAGUUAAGAUGGGGAAGGCAGAGAAAUCCAACUGAAGAAAGCUUUCAAAGUGGAUGGAGCAGAAAGCAUGAGCAGCAGCAUGUCAAGUUCAACCCAAGAACAACUUUGUCUGUGCUUUCACAACUAAAAUCCAAGACCAAAGCUAGUGCGGAUUUCCAGUCAGUGCUGUGCGCCAGCAGAAUGCUGUUGAUAUUCUUAUGGCUAAUGUGCCUCAAAGAGGAUCCCAUUAGUUUUCCGAACUGUAGAAUUCUCCACGGUUGACACUUUCUCACUGAACUCUCACGAUUGUUUGGUUUCAAAGUCUGUUGGGCUCAAGAUGCAUUUUGUUUUAAAUAAUCCUUCAUGAAAAAUUCAGCUUGCAGUCUGAUUUGAUUGAAACUCAGCCCGAGUUUGUUUUAUAAUGCAUUUGGACUGGGAAGCCUACGAGCAGUGAAUUAUUCAAGACAUACAGACAAAUGAGGGAUCUGUGCUCACACAUGGGGAGGGGUGAUCAAAAAAUAAGAAAAAUUUGACAUGUCUUGUUAUCUUAUUUUAUUUACCUUUAAAACUCCUCCAAAUAUUAGAGGAAAGAAACCAGUCUUCACCUCUGUCAGGUUCUG